Mesocricetus auratus (golden hamster) is the source of this 2698-nucleotide long non-coding RNA. RefSeq lists it as uncharacterized. The record is from RefSeq and is a predicted model, not a curated record. Lineage: Eukaryota; Metazoa; Chordata; Mammalia; Rodentia; Cricetidae. The transcript is spliced from 3 exons.
CUGCCCCCUGCUCCUGAUUCCCUUUCAGGAAUUUACAAACAUUUUCCCCUAGAUCAAUAUCCGUAUUGAUUAUUCAUUGUGAGAGAGUCGUGUGUCUUUGGUGAUCCAGCUUGCAGAGGGUAGCAGCUAAAGGCUGCUGCAGGGGAAAAAAUAACAGAAGGUGAGAGGGACUCAGCUCUGGCUAUGGUCUGCAGCUGUCACAUCUCAGAAAGGAAGAAGAGGAGACUGCUCCAGGAUGAAAGGAUGGAGAAGGGUGGAAGAGAAAGAGGGAGCAACAGCAAGAAAGAAUGGUGUGAGGACUGGACACCUGGUCCUAGGGAUCUCAACGGCUUGGAGGAAAGCCCCAUCAUCUUGGGUCUGCUGCUAGGUGCAAUGCUGUGGGUUCUUCUGCUCUGGGAGUGAAAAGUGACUCACGGUUUUGGUGUCUUCCUACGUAAGAGCUUUUGGUGGGGGGGAUUCCUUGGCUUGCUGACAGACAAGGAAGGACGCAGCCAGCAGUGAGGUAAAAAAAACACACACACAAAAAAACCAGGAUUCCUUUCCAACCGCUUCGCCGAGGAUGUGCACCCGUUCGGUUUGAUUUGAACAGCUUGCUGCUCUAAAUGGCAUGCGGAAGGAGGAUAAUUAAAAAGGCCAGCAUCACUUACUAAGUGAGUAAACACAAAGCCGUUCCAAACGUGCUCUCCAGCUAAUGAGAAGCUGUGAUUUCUUAUACUUCAAGGCAAAACAAGACAGGGAUGGGGGCUCAGCCGAGUGUAUGUCUGCAUGUGGACGUGGAUAUGGGGGUGGGCGGUGGUCCUUGGUGAUGGAGAUAAAUCGACUAAUUGUUGGCGAUGUUUAAAAAAGGGAUUACUGGAAAAGACGGUGAGAUGAUGACAGGAAGACAUCUUGGAUCAGAGCCAAAAAAAUAAUAAUCAAGGCAAAUCAAGUCUGCAGUUCGGAGAAAACACCCAUGGCUUGGGAAGCUCCGAUGGGAACACGGGAACCGCUGGAGUUCCUCAGCUGAGUCUGGGAAUAUUGUUGUGGGCACAAGAGGACAAGAUUCAGGAAAGAGUCAUGGCAUGCCAGCUUACACAGCUAUGCCACAUGCUGAGAAAAAAAAACCAAACCAAAUCCACACCAGACUCAAACAGUGAAAGCCAACAUAGCCAUUCCUUUGCAUUGGAGCCGUGCGGCUGGCUCAAAAUUGCUCCAUCUGUCUAAAGUAUAGUGCUUCUGCUAGUAGCUGCUCCUCCUCCCCGUCGUCUCCCGGAGCUACCUCACCAUUACAGAGUGGUACUGGGAAGAGGAGUGUGGGGAGAUUCCGUUUCCCAUUGGCAGGCGUCUGGCAAAUGUGCCAGGUGAUCAUCUUUGCCAUUUGGAUCGACAUAUGGCAGCUGGUUUGGGAAUUCUUCUGUUGCCACCCAGCUGUGGCUUGAGAUACAAAACUGGCUUGCUGAGAUGAGGUACGAAGCCUGGGUGAUGAUCAAAUUCCAUCGGCAGCUGGAAGAAGCCAGCUACUGCUGUCCCUCAGCAUCAAGGAUUCAAAGAUGAUUUCAGUAAAAUGUCUGAGCCCUGAUAUGUAAGGAAGAGUAUAAAUAUUUGCAUUACAAGGUAUUCUUUUGAGGAUUUCUCACUAAAUCUGGAGCUCAUUGAUUUGAGUAGCCUGGCUGGCCAGCAAGCUCCCCGGAUCUGCCUCUCUCUGUUUCUCUAGUGCUGUACUACGGAUGUUCUGUAUGUCUAGUUUUUACAAGGAUCUUGGGGAUUUGAACUCAGGCCCUUUAUAUAUAGAAGGUGCUGUAUUCACCAAGCCAUGUUCCCAGACUCGCUUUAAGCACCAAGUCUGAAGAGUGCUGAUGGCUGGAGGCCCUGGAAGAUUAACGACAUUGUGAAAGCUGCUCUUCAUGGAAAGAAGGCUGUGGAACAAAUGUGGGCUCUUCCAUCUUGGUUGGCAUAGGGCACUCACAGAGGCUUCCUUGGCUAUUCUGUUCCCUAUGAGGGACACAGAGUCACUAAUGCAACCGGCAGAGGAAGAUCGGUCCGUCUGUUCCUGGAAACUUACACUUAUUUUCUUAAACAGACUAUCUGAACUCACAAGGGGAAACAAGUACUGAGGGCACCCACAGAACCCCGAGAAGCAUUGCAUGCCAUACCAAGAGAGCUUAAGCAUUUACCAGCAGCACCCUCAAGGGUUCCCAGAACCCUGGGCAUGACUGCACAGCUGUGAAAGUUCCUUUGAGUCCUAUUGGUAUUCACAUUUGGAGGCUGCGGUGGUCUGGCUUCUUUCUCACGUCCAGGCACUUGGAGGAACAAGACUUGGCUAACAAGGGGUCAUAGCUUUUUAUUAUCUCUGUUCCCAGACAUGAUGUCUUCAAAUGGAUUUAGAGCUGUGUACACAGGAUUCAAGACAAGAAGUCUGUAAGUGAUGGACUGUGAAUCCAGGAUCCAGGUCGACAUCCACUGAAGCCUAAGGCUCUGGGGUGGACCAGGAUUUGGGCACAGCCUCACCAUUCCUCAUUUGGAAGGGGUUUUAUCCAAGCUGAAAGAAUGUCUUAAUGAAUGUAUAUUUCUUGUUAAUGCCACCCAUUUAUUAGAGAGGCAAGAACACCGUAGCUACAUGUUUUCCUUAUAAAUACUUGUGUCUCAAUAAAAGUCUAUUCAUUUAGAUAUGACAUUCCUGAAAUAAGCAAUAAAUUGAGGUUUGCCUUUUCACUUUCAA